GCUAGAUUGGAGGGUAGAAAAGAACCAUGGAUUGUUGUUCUGUACGCACCAUGGUGCCGCUUCUGUCAGGCAAUGGAAGGUUCCUAUGUUGAAUUAGCUGAGAAGCUAGCUGGGACUGGAGUGAAGGUUGGGAAGUUUAGGGCCGACGGCGAGGAAAAAGAGUUCGCACAACAGGAAUUGCAGUUAGGUAGCUUCCCCACCAUACUCUUCUUCCCUAAACAUUCCUCUCGGCCAAUCAAGUACCCAUCUGAGAAGAGAGACGUUGACUCGCUUAUGGCUUUUGUAAAUGCUUUUCGAUGAUCGGACCAGAAUGUAUCUGCAGUACACCUAAUAUACAAAAAUGUGGCCAGGUCCAGGUUGAGUCAAUUAUACAGUUGACACAAGAAGCAGUCUAAAUUUUCG
This 402-nucleotide unclassified non-coding RNA is filed under the name Hevea brasiliensis (rubber tree). The record is from RNAcentral. Lineage: Eukaryota; Viridiplantae; Streptophyta; Magnoliopsida; Malpighiales; Euphorbiaceae.